RNAcentral lists this ribosomal RNA (143 nucleotides) under uncultured eukaryote. RNAcentral describes it as "partial 18S ribosomal RNA". It matches the Rfam family "Eukaryotic small subunit ribosomal RNA", at positions 1299 to 1458 of the family's 1831-position model. The record is from RNAcentral.
UGGUGGAGUGAUUUGUCUGGUUAAUUCCGUUAACGAACGAGACCUCAGCCUGCUAAAUAGUUUGACAAACAUUUUGUGUUUGCAAUCAAAGCUUCUUAGAGGGACUUUUUGUAUCUAGCAAAAGGAAGUUUGAGGCAAUAACA